GAACGCGAAGAACCUUACCAAGGCUUGACAUGUACUGGACCGCAUCAGAGAUGGUGUUUCCCUUCGGGGCUGGUAUACAGGUGGUGCAUGGUUGUCGUCAGCUCGUGUCGUGAGAUGUUGGGUUAAGUCCCGCAACGAGCGCAACCCUCGUUCUAUGUUGCCAGCACGUUAUGGUGGGGACUCAUAGGAGACUGCCGGGGUCAACUCGGAGGAAGGUGGGGAUGACGUCAAAUCAUCAUGCCCCUUAUGUCUUGGGCUUCACGCAUGCUACAAUGGCCGGUACAGAGGGUUGCGAUACUGUGAGGUGGAGCUAAUCCCUAAAAGCCGGUCUCAGUUCGGAUUGGGGUCUGCAACUCGACCCCAUGAAGUCGGAGUCGCUAGUAAUCGCAGAUCAGCAACGCUGCGGUGAAUACGUUCCCGGGUCUUGUACACACC
This 435-nucleotide ribosomal RNA is filed under the name uncultured bacterium. RNAcentral describes it as "bacterial SSU rRNA". It matches the Rfam family "Bacterial small subunit ribosomal RNA", at positions 957 to 1391 of the family's 1533-position model. The record is from RNAcentral.